This 23-nucleotide small nuclear RNA is filed under the name Arabidopsis thaliana (thale cress). RNAcentral describes it as "snRNA_09072". The record is from RNAcentral. Lineage: Eukaryota; Viridiplantae; Streptophyta; Magnoliopsida; Brassicales; Brassicaceae.
AAGCAGACAACAUAAAUAUACAA